GGCAGUGUAGUGAAGUGGAAACACAGUAAGUUGCAACCCUACAAUCACUGGUUCAAAUCCAGUUACUGCCU
RNAcentral lists this transfer RNA (71 nucleotides) under Lactobacillus xujianguonis. It matches the Rfam family "tRNA". Rfam says of the family: Transfer RNA (tRNA) molecules are approximately 80 nucleotides in length. Their secondary structure includes four short double-helical elements and three loops (D, anti-codon, and T loops). The record is from Rfam by way of RNAcentral. Lineage: Bacteria; Bacillati; Bacillota; Bacilli; Lactobacillales; Lactobacillaceae.